Molecule: long non-coding RNA, 961 nt
Organism: Hippocampus zosterae (dwarf seahorse)
Lineage: Eukaryota; Metazoa; Chordata; Actinopteri; Syngnathiformes; Syngnathidae
Exons: 3
Source: RefSeq, a predicted model, not a curated record
GGGGAGGUCGCUACUUCGCGGAUUUUCAUUUAUCGCGGGUGGUUUUGGUCCCCAUUUAAAUUGUCCUCCCAAAAUAGAGCGAGCUAAGUGGACGGCUAAUGCUAACGAAAAGUCACGUGCGCGGGCACCUGUGAGCGUAAUGCCGACAGCUUCGCGGGUUUAAUGGUCAACGAGGCAACCUCGCGUGGGCAAAACAAGCGUGGCUGGUGUGGGUGAAACGAGGCACACCAACAAGGGUGUUGUUGGUGUUGUACCCACAAGGGUGGAAACUCAAGUCUGUACAACAGAGGUAGCGAACUCCGGUUCCUCGAGAGCCAUAUCCUGCCUGUUUUCGAUUCCUCCCUCCUCCAACACACCCGAUUCAAUUGAGGACGAUCUUUUUAGGCCACGACGGAAUUUGCUGACGAGCUGAUCAUUCGAAUCGGGUGGCUCUAAAACAGCGCAGGAUAUGACUCUCGAGGAACCGGAGUUCCCUACCCCUGCUGUACAAUAUGUCCCACUUGGAAAAGGUGGCAGCGGUUUGACCGGGAGAGUGACGUCAUGGAGCAGGUGGUCUGAAGUCCAAACCCGAAUGACGUCGCCUCGGCUAGCUCGGCGAUAGCUGUUGACGUUGGCCGCGCGAGAAUGGCCGUUUCCAGUCGACUCGACAAACAAGUAUCGAUAAAUGUACGCGUGUUUCUUAUAAGAUUAAAUUCAGGCGGCUAUCCGCUCUCACUCGACACCCCCCCAACCUCCCACGUUCCUUAACCUAGCUACAUGCUAGCUUACCCUAGCUAGCCACGUUAGCACGUCGAGCUAACGAGCUACUGCCUGUUUUUCUGUUAUCAACGUCACCGCCAAGUAGAUACGCGCGGGGUGGAUGCAGCAAGAAAGCCUGCAGUUGAGAGCUGCCUGCGUGAUGGUGGUUCGGGAGUCCCUGAACGCAUCAGCCAGGAAUGACACACAUCUGGAAUAGCUUGAG